UCCCAGCGGCCCAAGUGGAAGUCACAUUUACUGGGUCUAAAAAAUUCGUAGCCGGCUUGGUAAGUCUCAUGUAAAAUCAUUACUCUCAAGGUAAUGGCUGCAUGAGAUACUGUCAUGCUAGGGACUGGGGGACGUAACGAGUACGACGAGGGUAGUGGUAAAAUAUGUUAAUCCUUGUUGGACUCACAAGAGCGAAGGCACGUUACGAAAACAGAUCCGACGGUAAGGAAUGAAGGCCAGGGGCGCAAAACGGAUUAGAUACCCGUGUAGUCCUGGCUGUAAACACUGCUCACCAAACAUUGUGAUCUCUUCGGGAGAUUGCAGUGCUGAAGCGAAGGCGAGAGUGAGCUACCUGGGGAGUAUAGUCGCAAGACCGAAACUUAAAGGAAUUGGCGGGGGAGCACUACAACGAGUGACGCGUGCGGUUCAAUUAGAUUCUACCCCGUGAACCUCACCAGGAGCGACAGCAGAAUGAAGGUCAGUCUGAAGGGCUUACCUGACACGCUGAGAGGAGUUGCAUGGCCGACGUCAGCCUGUGUCGUGAGAUGAUCUGUUAAAUCAGGUAACAGGCGAGACCUGCGUGUGUUGUUGCUAUUCGGAGAGAAAGCACACUACACAGACUGCUCCAGCAAUGGAGAGGAAGGUGCAGGCAACGUUAGGUGAGUACGGCCCGAAUCCCCUGGGCGACACGCGCGCGGCAAUGGUAGUAACAAUGAGAUGCAAUGCCGAAAGGCAAAGCUAAUCCCAAAAAUGCUAUCUUAGUUCAGAUUGAGGUUUGAAACUCAGCCUCAUGACGAUGGAAUUCGUAGUAAUCGGAUGUUAGCAGCGUCCGGUGAAUAAUGUUCCUGCUCCU
Molecule: ribosomal RNA, 853 nt
Filed under: uncultured archaeon
Lineage: Archaea
Description: SSU rRNA
Rfam family: Archaeal small subunit ribosomal RNA
Source: RNAcentral